This 425-nucleotide ribosomal RNA is filed under the name uncultured bacterium. RNAcentral's name for it is "partial 16S ribosomal RNA". It matches the Rfam family "Bacterial small subunit ribosomal RNA", at positions 354 to 796 of the family's 1533-position model. The record is from RNAcentral.
GUGGGGAAUCUUGCGCAAUGGGCGAAAGCCUGACGCAGCCAUGCCGCGUGAAUGAUGAAGGUCUUAGGAUUGUAAAGUUCUUUCACCGGGGACGAUAAUGACGGUACCCGGAGAAGAAGCUCCGGCUAACUUCGUGCCAGCAGCCGCGGUAAUACGAAGGGGGCUAGCGUUGCUCGGAAUUACUGGGCGUAAAGGGCGCGUAGGCGGACAGCUUAGUCAGAGGUGAAAGCCCAGGGCUCAACCUUGGAAUUGCCUUUGAUACUGGCUGUCUUGAGUUUGGGAGAGGUGAGUGGAACUCCGAGUGUAGAGGUGAAAUUCGUAGAUAUUCGGAAGAACACCAGUGGCGAAGGCGACUCACUGGCCCAAUACUGACGCUGAGGCGCGAAAGCGUGGGGAGCAAACAGGAUUAGAUACCCCGGUAGUCC